GAUGCAAGCGUUAUCCGGAAUCAUUGGGCGUAAAGCGCCUGUAGGUUGUUUAAUAAGUCCGUUGUUAAAGACUAGGGCUUAACCCUAGAAAAGCGAUGGAAACUACUAGACUUGAGUAUGGCAGGGGUAGAGGGAAUUUCUAGUGUAGCGGUGAAAUGCGUAGAUAUUAGAAAGAACACCGGUGGCGAAAGCGCUCUACUGGACCAUUACUGACACUCAGAGGCGAAAGCUAGGGUAGCAAAAGGGAUUAGAUACCCCUGUAGUCCUAGCCGUAAACGAUGGAUACUAGAUGUUGUAUAUAUUUUACAGUAUCGUAGCUAACGCGUUAAGUAUCCCGCCUGGGGAGUACGCUCGCAAGGGUGAAACUCAAAGGAAUUGACGGGGGCCCGCACAAGCGGUGGAGCAUGUGGUUUAAUUCGAUGCAACGCGAAGAACCUUACCAGGGCUUGACAUACUGCGAAUCUUUUUGAAAGGAAAGAGUGCCUUCGGGAAUGCAGAUACAGGUGGUGCAUGGCUGUCGUCAGCUCGUGUCGUGAGAUGUUGGGUUAAGUCCCGCAACGAGCGCAACCCUUAUUUUUAGUUACCAAUUUACUUGGGUUCUCUAGAAAGACUGCCGGUGACAAACCGGAGGAAGGUGAGGAUGACGUCAAGUCAGCAUGCCCCUUAUGUCCUGGGCUACACACGUGCUACAAUGGUUGGGACAAAGAGUUGCAAGUUUGCAAAAACAAGCUA
RNAcentral lists this ribosomal RNA (732 nucleotides) under Prymnesium parvum. RNAcentral's name for it is "SSU rRNA". It matches the Rfam family "Bacterial small subunit ribosomal RNA", at positions 531 to 1270 of the family's 1533-position model. Lineage: Eukaryota; Haptophyta; Prymnesiales; Prymnesiaceae. The record is from RNAcentral.